RNAcentral lists this ribosomal RNA (343 nucleotides) under Rhabdopleura normani. RNAcentral's name for it is "bacterial SSU rRNA". It matches the Rfam family "Eukaryotic small subunit ribosomal RNA", at positions 1469 to 1804 of the family's 1831-position model. Lineage: Eukaryota; Metazoa; Hemichordata; Pterobranchia; Rhabdopleurida; Rhabdopleuridae. The record is from RNAcentral.
GCCCUUAGAUGUCCGGGGCCGCACGCGCGCUACACUGAAAGAAUCAACGUGCCAACUGCUUGGCCUGGGCCGACAGGUCCGGGUAACCCGUUGAACCUCUUUCGUGCUUGGGACAGGGAUUUGCAAUUGUCUCCCUCGAACGAGGAAUUCCCAGUAAGCGCGAGUCAUAAGCUCGCGUUGAUUACGUCCCUGCCCUUUGUACACACCGCCCGUCGCUACUACCGAUUGAACGGUUUAGUGAGGUGUUCGGAUUGGCGCGGGCGGCGGCUCGUCUGCCGACCCGCGCCGAAAAGAUCAUCAAACUUGAUCGUUUAGAGGAAGUAAAAGUCGUAACAAGGUUUCC